RNAcentral lists this long non-coding RNA (446 nucleotides) under Strigops habroptila (Kakapo). RNAcentral's name for it is "lncRNA (ENSSHBG00005003695.1)". The record is from RNAcentral. Lineage: Eukaryota; Metazoa; Chordata; Aves; Psittaciformes; Psittacidae.
AAACAUUAUAAAUCUUUAUGUUUUUCCCUAUACAAACAUUACCAGAUACUGCCCCAAUACAGUUAAAAGCAUUUCCUGUUAACUGCAUGUAAGCUCAAUAUUCAGUCUUUUGAACAAAUUUUUGUUUCUUAUGGAGUAGUCUUGCAUAGACUGCCAUUGGUCUCAGGCUGGUUCCAACAGUUCUUCCUAGGGAAAAAAAGCCAUUGCAGGACAGCUGAGCACUCAGUACUUUUUAACUCUUUCCUACACAUCUUUCUCAUGCUCAGAGGCUUUCACCACACAGGCUGUGUCUGAGCUUCUGAACUUCCAGCAAAACACAUCAGAACUCUCACCACCGCGGCCGGCCGCCGCUCAGCUCAGGCGGUCGCGUUCCGGCGGCCAGCGGGCGCCGGGCGCAGGACUCCAACCACGGCCGCCACCGCCGCCGCCGCCUGCGCAGGGAAGCC